Molecule: ribosomal RNA, 464 nt
Filed under: uncultured Klebsiella sp.
Lineage: Bacteria; Pseudomonadati; Pseudomonadota; Gammaproteobacteria; Enterobacterales; Enterobacteriaceae
Description: bacterial SSU rRNA
Rfam family: Bacterial small subunit ribosomal RNA
Source: RNAcentral
CCUACGGGCGGCUGCAGUGGGGAAUAUUGCACAAUGGGCGCAAGCCUGAUGCAGCCAUGCCGCGUGUGUGAAGAAGGCCUUCGGGUUGUAAAGCACUUUCAGCGGGGAGGAAGGCGGUGAGGUUAAUAACCUCAUCGAUUGACGUUACCCGCAGAAGAAGCACCGGCUACUCCGUGCCAGCAGCCGCGGUAAUACGGAGGGUGCAAGCGUUAAUCGGAAUUACUGGGCGUAAAGCGCACGCAGGCGGUCUGUCAAGUCGGAUGUGAAAUCCCCGGGCUCAACCUGGGAACUGCAUUCGAAACUGGCAGGCUAGAGUCUUGUAGAGGGGGGUAGAAUUCCAGGUGUAGCGGUGAAAUGCGUAGAGAUCUGGAGGAAUACCGGUGGCGAAGGCGGCCCCCUGGACAAAGACUGACGCUUAGGUGCGAAAGCGUGGGGAGCAAACAGGAUUAGAUACCCGAGUAGUC